AGCAGCCGCGGUAAUUCCAGCUCCAAUAGCGUAUAUUAAAGUUGUUGCAGUUAAAAAGCUCGUAGUUGAAUUUCGGGAUUGACACAUCGGUCGUGCCUUAAGGGGUAUGAACUGGUGUAGUCAAUUUCUCACCUUCUGGAGAACCGCGAUGUCCUUAAUUGGGUGCCGCGAAGAACCAGGACCUUUACUUUGAAAAAAUUAGAGUGUUUAAAGCAGGCAUUUUUGCUUGAAUACAUUAGCAUGGAAUAAUAAAAUAGGACGGCAUGAUUCUAUUUUGUUGGUUUCUAGGAUCACCGUAAUGAUUAAUAGGGAUAGUUGGGGGCAUUAGUAUUCAAUUGUCAGAGGUGAAAUUCUUGGAUUUAUUGAAGACUAACUACUGCGAAAGCAUUUGCCAAGGAUGUUUUCAUUAAUCAAGAACGAAAGUUAGGGGAUCGAAGACGAUCAGAUACCGUCGUAGUCUUAACCAUAAACUAUGCCGACUAGGGAUCGGAUGAUGUUAAUUUUUUAAUGACUCAUUCGGCGCCUUACG
RNAcentral lists this ribosomal RNA (529 nucleotides) under uncultured Glomus. Its description in RNAcentral is "SSU rRNA". It matches the Rfam family "Eukaryotic small subunit ribosomal RNA", at positions 569 to 1092 of the family's 1831-position model. Lineage: Eukaryota; Fungi; Glomeromycota; Glomeromycetes; Glomerales; Glomeraceae. The record is from RNAcentral.